RNAcentral lists this ribosomal RNA (469 nucleotides) under uncultured bacterium. RNAcentral describes it as "bacterial SSU rRNA". It matches the Rfam family "Bacterial small subunit ribosomal RNA", at positions 28 to 490 of the family's 1533-position model. The record is from RNAcentral.
GACGAACGCUGGCGGCGUGCCUAACACAUGCAAGUCGAGCGGAGUUUUUCGGAUUGAGACCUUCGGGAGGAUUUCUGAGAAACUUAGCGGCGGACGGGUGAGUAACGCGUGGGCAAUCUGCCUCUUACAGGGGGAUAACACAGGGAAACCUGUGCUAAUACCGCAUAAAACUGCUCUGUGGCAUCACGGAGUAGCCAAAGGAGCAAUCCGGUGAGAGAGGAGCCCGCGUCUGAUUAGCUAGUUGGUGAGGUAACGGCCCACCAAGGCGACGAUCAGUAGCCGAACUGAGAGGUUGAACGGCCACAUUGGGACUGAGAUACGGCCCAGACUCCUACGGGAGGCAGCAGUGGGGAAUAUUGGGCAAUGGGGGAACCCUGACCCAGCAACGCCGCGUGAAGGAAGAAGGCCUUGGUUCGUAAACGUUACUUUUACCUACGGACGAAGAACGUGACGGUACUCGGUAGAAAAG